Molecule: ribosomal RNA, 1370 nt
Filed under: uncultured bacterium
Lineage: Bacteria
Description: bacterial SSU rRNA
Rfam family: Bacterial small subunit ribosomal RNA
Source: RNAcentral
GAUGAACGCUGGCGGCGUGCCUAAUACAUGCAAGUCGAGCGAACGGACGAGAAGCUUGCUUCUCUGAUGUUAGCGGCGGACGGGUGAGUAACACGUGGAUAACCUACCUAUAAGACUGGGAUAACUUCGGGAAACCGGAGCUAAUACCGGAUAAUAUUUUGAACCGCAUGGUUCAAAAGUGAAAGACGGUCUUGCUGUCACUUAUAGAUGGAUCCGCGCUGCAUUAGCUAGUUGGUAAGGUAACGGCUUACCAAGGCAACGAUGCAUAGCCGACCUGAGAGGGUGAUCGGCCACACUGGAACUGAGACACGGUCCAGACUCCUACGGGAGGCAGCAGUAGGGAAUCUUCCGCAAUGGGCGAAAGCCUGACGGAGCAACGCCGCGUGAGUGAUGAAGGUCUUCGGAUCGUAAAACUCUGUUAUUAGGGAAGAACAUAUGUGUAAGUAACUGUGCACAUCUUGACGGUACCUAAUCAGAAAGCCACGGCUAACUACGUGCCAGCAGCCGCGGUAAUACGUAGGUGGCAAGCGUUAUCCGGAAUUAUUGGGCGNUAAGCGCGCGUGGCGGUUUUUUAGUCUGAUGUGAAAGCCCACGGCUCAACCGUGGAGGGUCAUUGGAAACUGGAAAACUUGAGUGCAGAAGAGGAAAGUGGAAUUCCAUGUGUAGCGGUGAAAUGCGCAGAGAUAUGGAGGAACACCAGUGGCGAAGGCGACUUUCUGGUCUGUAACUGACGCUGAUGUGCGAAAGCGUGGGGAUCAAACAGGAUUAGAUACCCUGGUAGUCCACGCCGUAAACGAUGAGUGCUAAGUGUUAGGGGGUUUCCGCCCCUUAGUGCUGCAGCUAACGCAUUAAGCACUCCGCCUGGGGAGUACGACCGCAAGGUUGAAACUCAAAGGAAUUGACGGGGACCCGCACAAGCGGUGGAGCAUGUGGUUUAAUUCGAAGCAACGCGAAGAACCUUACCAAAUCUUGACAUCCUUUGACAACUCUAGAGAUAGAGCUUUCCCCUUCGGGGGACAAAGUGACAGGUGGUGCAUGGUUGUCGUCAGCUCGUGUCGUGAGAUGUUGGGUUAAGUCCCGCAACGAGCGCAACCCUUAAGCUUAGUUGCCAUCAUUAAGUUGGGCACUCUAAGUUGACCGCCGGUGACAAACCGGAGGAAGGUGGGGAUGACGUCAAAUCAUCAUGCCCCUUAUGAUUUGGGCUACACACGUGCUACAAUGGACAAUACAAAGGGCAGCGAAACCGUGAGGUCAAGCAAAUCCCAUAAAGUUGUUCUCAGUUCGGAUUGUAGUCUGCAACUCGACUACAUGAAGCUGGAAUCGCUAGUAAUCGUAGAUCAGCAUGCUACGGUGAAUACGUUCCCGGGUCU